Molecule: ribosomal RNA, 443 nt
Filed under: uncultured bacterium
Lineage: Bacteria
Description: partial 16S ribosomal RNA
Rfam family: Bacterial small subunit ribosomal RNA
Source: RNAcentral
CCUACGGGUGGCAGCAGUGGGGAAUAUUGGGCAAUGGAGGCAACUCUGACCCAGCAACGCCGCGUGAAUGAUGAAGGUCUUCGGAUUUUAAAGCUUUUUUUUAAGGGAAGUAGAAUGUGACGGUACCUUAGGAUUAUGCCUCGGCUAACUACGUGCCAGCAGCCGCGGUAAUCCGUAGGAGGCUAGCGUUAUCCGGAGUGACUGGGGUUAGAGGGUGAGUAGGUGGUUGGACAAGUUGGUAGAGUAAGUCCGAGGCUUAACCUCGGCACUACUACCAAUACUGGUAGACUCGAGUGCAGUGGUGGCAAGUGGAAGUCGUAGUGUAGCGGUGGAAUGCUUAGAUAUUAGGAAGAACCCCAGUGGCGAAGGCAGUUUACUAAACUGUAACUGACACUGAGGCACGAAAGCGUGGGGAGCAAACAGGAUUAGAUACCCGAGUAGUC